Molecule: transfer RNA, 82 nt
Filed under: Cyanobacteria bacterium J055
Lineage: Bacteria; Bacillati; Cyanobacteriota
Also listed under: 5 other names
Description: tRNA-Leu
Rfam family: tRNA
About the family: Transfer RNA (tRNA) molecules are approximately 80 nucleotides in length. Their secondary structure includes four short double-helical elements and three loops (D, anti-codon, and T loops).
Source: RNAcentral
GCGGACGUGGCGGAAUUGGCAGACGCGCUAGAUUUAGGUUCUAGUGCCGCAAGGCGUGAAGGUUCAAGUCCUUUCGUCCGCA